This 258-nucleotide ribosomal RNA is filed under the name uncultured prokaryote. RNAcentral describes it as "partial 16S ribosomal RNA". It matches the Rfam family "Bacterial small subunit ribosomal RNA", at positions 524 to 780 of the family's 1533-position model. The record is from RNAcentral.
UACGUAGGGUGCGAGCGUUGUCCGGAAUUACUGGGCGUAAAGAGCUCGUAGGUGGUUUGUCACGUCGUCUGUGAAAUUCCGGGGCUUAACUCCGGGCGUGCAGGCGAUACGGGCAAUACUUGAGUGCUGUAGGGGAGACUGGAAUUCCUGGUGUAGCGGUGAAAUGCGCAGAUAUCAGAAGGAACACCAAUGGCGAAGGCAGGUCUCUGGGCAGUCACUGACGCUGAGGAGCGAAAGCAUGGGUAGCGAACAGGAUUA